This 497-nucleotide ribosomal RNA is filed under the name uncultured bacterium. Its description in RNAcentral is "partial 16S ribosomal RNA". It matches the Rfam family "Bacterial small subunit ribosomal RNA", at positions 29 to 507 of the family's 1533-position model. The record is from RNAcentral.
AGUGAACGCUGGCGGUAGGCCUAACACAUGCAAGUCGAACGGCAGCACAGUAAGAGCUUGCUCUUACGGGUGGCGAGUGGCGGACGGGUGAGGAAUACAUCGGAAUCUACUUUUUCGGGGGGGAUAACGUAGGGAAACUUACGCUAAUACCGCAUACGAUCUACGGGUGAAAGCAGGGGAUCUUGGGACCUUGCGUGAUUGUAUGAGCUGAUGUCGGGUCGGAUUAGCUAGUUGGUAAGGUAACGGCUAACCAAGGCAACGUUGCGUAGCUGACCUGAGAGGGUGAUCGGCCACACUGGAACUGAGACACGGUCCAGACUCCUACGGUAGGCAGCAGUAGGGAAUCUUCCACAAUGGGCGAAAGCCUGACCCAGCCACACCGCGUGAGUGAUGAAGGCCUUCGGGUCGUAAAGCCCUUUUGUUGGGAAAGAAAAACAGCAGGUUUAUCCCCCGCCGUUCUGACGGUACCCAAACAGUAAGCCCCGGCUAACUUCGUG